CCUACGGGUGGCUGCAGUGGGGAAUAUUGCUCCAUGGGCGCAACCCUGAUGCAGCGAAGUCGCGUGAGGGAAGACGUACUUCGUUAUGUUAAGCUCCAUUAGCAGGGAAGAAAAUGCCGGUACCUGUGUCAGAAGGCACGGUUCCCUACGUGACAGCAGCCGCGGUUAUACGUAGGGGGCCAGCGUUAUCCGGGUUUACUGGGUGUAAAGGGAGCGUAGACGGCAGUGCAAGUCUGGAGUGAAAGGGGGGGGUUCAACCCUCGGACUGCGCUGGAAACUGUACGGCUGGAGUGCAGGAGAGGUAAGUGGAAUUCCUGGUGUAGCGGUGAAAUGCGUAGAUAUUAGGAAGAACACCAGUGGCGAAGGCAGCUUACUGGACUGUAACUGACGUUGAGGCUCGAAAGCGUGGGGAUCAAACAGGAUUAGAUACCCUAGUAGUC
RNAcentral lists this ribosomal RNA (440 nucleotides) under uncultured bacterium. RNAcentral's name for it is "partial 16S ribosomal RNA". It matches the Rfam family "Bacterial small subunit ribosomal RNA", at positions 338 to 795 of the family's 1533-position model. The record is from RNAcentral.